UGAGCAUCAGGGAUGUGAGGGGAGUGGGUGACUCCUGGGAAGGUCUCGUGCAGGGAGUAGGAUUUGCUUAGGUCCUUGAAGGGCAAGUCAAUUUCACAGUGGCUGACAGUCCAGGCACAGAUAAAUGCAAUGAGCACUGGCAUGGAGGCUGGCAGGGACAAGACCCUGGACUUGGAAUGUAUCAUCUCUUAAGGAUGCAACUUUUCAGACAAGACUGGUCUUCAGCUAUUUAAACCACAUACAUGAUCUCUUCAUUAUAAACAUCAUACUCUUUAUCUUUUGUACAAAUUUAAAACACAGAGAUGCAAAAUAAAGUAAAAGCUAC
RNAcentral lists this long non-coding RNA (325 nucleotides) under Aotus nancymaae (Ma's night monkey). RNAcentral's name for it is "lncRNA (ENSANAG00000038800.1)". Lineage: Eukaryota; Metazoa; Chordata; Mammalia; Primates; Aotidae. The record is from RNAcentral.